UAUACGUUAUUUUUUAUUUUGCGAUUAGAAAGACUCGAGCCUAGACUUAAGUUUCAGCGGGCAUUGCGCCCGAAGAAAGAAGAGGCUAUGAGCCGAAGAGGCCCGGCAAACUGCCGUUCAAGAGGGCAACUACCAAUGGCUCUCCAUCCUCUGGGUCAUCCAGAGCAUGGAAAGUUAUUCUCGUUACUACUUUGUCACUAUGCUUGCUUUUAGUAUUUGUAGUAGUAGUAGCUCUUUUUUUUGGCUGAUGUAUAUAUCGGUCCAUCAUCACAUUGGGCAAAUCGCGGUUUUGUUUUAUUAUGUUGCGAAAAAGAAAAAAAUACUUGUCCACUACGGUUUUUGUUCUUCGGGCUUGUAUCGAGUGGAUGGCCCUUCUGGCUAUUGUUUUCACUUCUCUUUCAGCACACCUUAAUUCCAGAGUAUUGUUUCGAAAAUACUGUUGAUGAACAUAUUUAUCUAAUACUCAUGGACAUCUUUAAUUUUACAUAAUUAUACAAAUUUUAUGUAACAUUAAAAUUUGUAUAAUUUUUAAAUUUUAUUCAAUGAUGCCACGUACAUUGCGUGUA
RNAcentral lists this unclassified non-coding RNA (566 nucleotides) under Bombus terrestris (buff-tailed bumblebee). Its description in RNAcentral is "misc RNA ENSBTSG00005029202.1". Lineage: Eukaryota; Metazoa; Arthropoda; Insecta; Hymenoptera; Apidae. The record is from RNAcentral.